Molecule: ribosomal RNA, 440 nt
Filed under: uncultured bacterium
Lineage: Bacteria
Description: partial 16S ribosomal RNA
Rfam family: Bacterial small subunit ribosomal RNA
Source: RNAcentral
CCUACGGGAGGCAGCAGUGGGGAAUAUUGCACAAUGGGGGAAACCCUGAUGCAGCGACGCCGCGUGAAGGAAGAAGUAUUUCGGUAUGUAAACUUCUAUCAGCCGGGAAGAAAAUGACGGUACCUGACGAAGAAGCCCCGGCUAACUACGUGCCAGCAGCCGCGGUAAUACGUAGGGGGCACGCGUUAGCAGGAUGUACUGGGUGUAAAGGGGGCGUUGGGGGGGAUGCAAGUCAGAAGUGAAAGCCCGGGGCCCAACCCCGGGACUGCUUUUGAAACUGGAUGGCUAGAUUGGAGGAGAGGCAAGUGGAAUUCCUGGGGUAGCGGUGAAAUGCGUAGAUAUUAGGAGGAACACCAGUGGCGAAGGCGGCUUGCUGGACUGUAAAUGACGCUGAGGCUCGAAAGCGUGGGGAGCAAACAGGAUUAGAUACCCGUGUAGUC